This 465-nucleotide ribosomal RNA is filed under the name uncultured bacterium. Its description in RNAcentral is "partial 16S ribosomal RNA". It matches the Rfam family "Bacterial small subunit ribosomal RNA", at positions 338 to 795 of the family's 1533-position model. The record is from RNAcentral.
CCUACGGGCGGCAGCAGUAGGGAAUCUUCCACAAUGGGCGAAAGCCUGAUGGAGCAACGCCGCGUGGGUGAAGAAGGUCUUCGGAUCGUAAAACCCUGUUGUUAGAGAAGCAAGUGCGUGAGAGUAACUGUUCACGUUUCGACGGUAUCUAACCAGAAAGCCACGGCUAACUACGUGCCAGCAGCCGCGGUAAUACGUAGGUGGCAAGCGUUAUCCGGAUUUAUUGGGCGUAAAGGGAACGCAGGCGGUCUUUUAAGUCUGAUGUGAAAGCCUUCGGCUUAACCGGAGUAGUGCAUUGGAAACUGGAAGACUUGAGUGCGGAAGAGGAGAGUGGAACUCGAGGUGUAGCGGUGAAAUGCGUAGAUAUAUGGAAGAACACCAGUGGCGAAAGCAGCUCGCUGGUCUGUAACUGACGCUGAGGUUCGAAAGCGUGGGUAGCGAACAGGAUUAGAUACCCGUGUAGUC